This is a non-coding RNA of Anas platyrhynchos (mallard), 7344 nucleotides long. NCBI's taxonomy places the organism in Eukaryota, Metazoa, Chordata, Aves, Anseriformes, Anatidae. The record is from RefSeq and is a predicted model, not a curated record.
GAAUUUCUUGUAGUGCCUGUGCUGUUCCUAAUCGCAGUUGCCUCAAACCCUGGCUGAUCUUGCGAUCUGGAUGCUUCUGCCUUUAAGAACAAAGGUAGAUCUACAGCAUGACUAAUCACUUCAGAAGUUCACGUACCUCCAGAGCCCAUGUGGAGUUCUCGACGCAUUGUUGCUAGGUUUGCUAGAACAGUUGGUGCAGAAGAAUGAACUUCCUUAGGCAAAUCAGACUUCUACUCUGGAAGAACUGGAUUCUUCGGAAAAGACAAAAGCUUCGUCUUCUGGUGGAGCUUGUGUGGCCUCUGUCAUUAUUUCUUGCCCUUGUGUGGCUGAGGAAGGCUAAUCCAUUAUAUCGCCAACAUGAAUGUCACUUCCCAAACAAGGCAAUGCCAUCUGCAGGAACACUGCCGUGGUUACAUGGCAUCUUCUGUAACAUGAACAACCCUUGUUUCCGCAGCCCAACCCCUGGAGAGAGUCCAGGUGUUGUGUCCAACUACAACAACUCCAUCCUUGCAAGAGUAUAUAAAGAUGCUCAAGAGCUCUUACUGGAAGCCCCUGAAAUCCGUGACCUUGGCAGAGUCUGGGAAGAACUGAUCAUUAUGACUCAGUUUAUGGAAACAAUGAGAACUAAUCCUGAAAGAAUUGCAGGAAGAGGAAUACGAAUUCUAGACAUUUUGAAAGAUGGGGAGACUCUCACUUCCUUCUUGCUGGAAGAUGCUCGUCUCCCAGAUGUUGUUGUUUUCCAGCUUAUUAAUGCUCAAGUACGCCCUGAACAGUUUGCCUAUGGUGUACCCAACUUGACUCUGAAGGACAUUGCUUGCAGUCAGAUGCUACUGGACCGCUUUAUUAUCUUCAGCAGCAGAAGAGGUCUCCCUUCGGUCCACAAGGCCAUGUGUGCCCUCUCCCAGGAAAGCCUACAGAGAGUGGAAGAUGCCUUGUAUGCAAAUGUUGAUUUCUUUAAGCUAUUUCAGCUGCUUCCUACUGUGUUGGACAGAAACUCACCAGGUGUUGAUCUGAGGUCUUGGGGGAGGGUGCUGUCUAAUGUCUCCCAAGCAGCACAAAAGCUAGCCAAGAAGUCAAGUGUUCAGGACCUUUUCAAGGCUUUACAACCAUUUGUACAAAAUGGAAGAACUGAAUCCUUAGGCCACUGGGUGAGCUCCAUGUCUGAUCUUUUCUGUGGCUACCCAGAAGGAGGUGGAUCCAGAGUGCUUUCCUUCAACUGGUAUGAAGAUAACAACUACAAAGCUUUCCUGGGGAUUGACUCUACAAAGAAAUCCAGUUAUCUCUAUGAUAAUACAACCACACCCUUUUGUAAUGCAUUGAUCCAAAACUUGGAAUCAAACCCUUUAACCAAAAUAGCCUGGAGUGCUGUGAAGCCCCUGCUGAUGGGAAAAAUUCUCUUUGCUCCUGAUUCACCGUCUGUACGGCAAAUCCUAAAAAAUGCAAACUCCACUUUUGAGGAACUUGAACGCCUCAGACUGUUGACCAAAGCUUGGGAAGAAGUAGGACCACAGUUGUGGUACUUCUUUCAAAACAGCCUGCAAAUGAAUAUGAUCCGUGACUCUCUGAAGCACCCUACAGUGAGGGACUUCUUGAACAGACAGAUGGGUGCUGAAGGCUUAACUGCUGAACACAUUAUCAACUUUCUCCACAAUGGGUCUCCGGGGACCAGGGAGAAGGGAAUGGUGGACUUUGACUGGCGGAACAUCUUCAGUGUUGUAGACCAAGCUCUGCGUUUGCUCAGUCAGUAUCUGGAGUGUUUGAUGUUGGAUAAAUUUGAAGGUUAUCAUGAUGAAACCCAGCUGACUCAUCAAGCCCUUCACCUGCUAGAGGAAAACAAAUUCUGGGCUGGUGUGGUUUUUCCAGAUAUAGAGCCUAUAGCAAGCAGUCUUCCACCACAUGUGAAAUACAAGAUCCGGAUGGACAUAGAUGCAGUGGAGAAAACAAACAAAAUCAAAGACAGGUACUGGGAUCCUGGUCCAAGAGCCGAUCCCGUGGAUGAUUUACGUUACAUAUGGGGAGGCUUUGCAUAUCUCCAAGACAUGAUUGAGCAUGGGAUUAUAAAGACCCAGACCAACACUGAAGUGCCAAUAGGAAUUUAUCUGCAGCAAAUGCCAUAUCCAUGUUUUGUGGAUGAUGUCUUUAUGAUCACCCUAAACCGCUCCUUUCCCAUCUUCAUGGUGCUAGCUUGGAUAUAUUCCGUUUCCAUGACUGUGAAAAGUAUAGUGCUGGAGAAGGAAAUGCGUCUGAAGGAGGCAAUGAAGAACAGGGGCAUCACCAAUGGGGUAAUUUGGUGCACUUGGUUCCUAGACAGCUUCGUCAUGAUGGCUGUGAGCACAUUCCUCCUCACAGCACUAAUUAUGUGCGGCCAAGUCCUACAUUACAGCAGUCCACUUCUCUUCUUCCUAUUCCUACUGACCUUCACUACAGCCACCAUAAUGCAGUGCUUCUUGUUCAGCACCUUCUUCUCUAAAGCAAAUCUGGCAGCUGCCUGCAGUGGAGUCCUGUACUUCACCUUGUACCUGCCUCACAUUGUCUGCUUUGUCUGGCAAGACCGCAUGACUGUUAAUCUGAAGAUCUUAGCAAGUUUACUUUCUCAAGUAGCUUUUGGUUUUGGUACAGAAUACUUGUCGCGCUAUGAAGAACAAGGUCUUGGCCUACAGUGGGGUAACAUCAGAACCAGUCCCUUGGAAGGAGAUGAAUAUAGUUUUCUGUUUUCCAUUAAAAUGAUGCUUUUUGAUGCUUUUCUAUAUGGAAUACUUUCUUGGUACCUUGAUAAUGUUUUUCCAGGGGACUAUGGGCUACCACAGCCUUGGUAUUUCCCUUUGCAGGAAUCUUACUGGUUUGGCUCUAGAAACCCAAAAGCUGAAAAACCAGCAACUAUUGAUGAAAACAGUCCACAGUCAGAAUGCUGUGUGGAUCAGAAGGCCAUGGAAGGGGAAAAAAAUGAAAGCAGAACAAAGAAAUCUGAAGAACCUGAAAAGCCAGAAGAAAAGAGUGACAACCAGGGGGAGAAGGAUGGUAAAAACAAACAAUGUAAACACAAACGAGAAAAAGAACCCGGCGAGCAGGGGAUGCCUAAGACAGAUGUCCAGGACAAAGAUGAAAUGAAUAUAAAUACCUUCUGUGAACCUGAGCCAACAGGAUUGAUUCCAGGAGUAUGUGUUCAGAACCUGGUGAAGAUUUUUGCGAACAGGCCCAAGCCAGCAGUAGAUGGGAUGAAUAUUACUUUUUAUGAGGGCCAGAUCACAGCAUUUCUUGGUCACAAUGGAGCAGGAAAGACAACCACCAUGUCAAUACUGACAGGCCUCUUCCCACCCACCUCUGGAACUGUGCUAAUUGGUGGCCUGGAUAUUCAAACUCACAUGGACUCCAUUCGGCAACAAUUAGGCAUGUGCCCUCAGUACAACAUCCUAUUCAAUCACCUUACUGUAGCAGAACACAUAUUGUUUUAUUCCCAACUGAAAGGGAGAUCCAGGGAUGAAGCUGAACAAGAGCUGGAAAUGAUGCUAGAAGACAUGGGCCUCACCCAUAAAAGGAAUGAAGAGGCUCAGAAAUUGUCAGGUGGAAUGCAAAGAAAACUCUCUGUUGCCAUUGCUUUUGUUGGUGAAGCAAAAGUGGUAGUUUUGGAUGAGCCCACUUCUGGAGUUGAUCCGUAUUCCAGGCGAUCUAUCUGGGAUCUUCUGCUGAAGUAUCGCUCAGGCAGAACCAUCAUCCUCUCCACCCAUCACAUGGAUGAGGCAGACAUUCUUGGAGACAGGAUAGCUAUCAUAUCUCAAGGAAAACUCUUCUGCUCAGGCUCCCCGGUAUUCCUUAAGAACUGCUUUGGAUCUGGCUUCUAUCUCACUCUUGUUCGCAAGAUGAAAAACACCAGAAUUGCAAGGAAUGCAUCAUUUUGUAGCUGUGGAUCUCAGUGCUCCUGCUCCUGUUCCAGCUGUGCACACAGGGACAAAGAAGGAACUCAAGUGCAGGAACUGGAUGGAGAUCUGAAUGAGCUAGCAGAAGUAAUUCAUCAUCAUGUCCCAGAAGCAAAAUUAAUUGAAAGCAUUGGUCAAGAAAUUGUUUACCUGUUGCCCAGUAAGCACUUUAAACAGCGAUCUUAUGCCAGUCUCUUCAGAGAACUGGAGGAAACAUUGGAUGACCUGGGACUUAGCAGUUUUGGAGUUUCAGACACUCCACUUGAAGAGGUUUUCCUAAAGGUCACAGCAGAAGCUAGCCCUGAAAUGCAAAAAGCAGGAGACAAUCAAGAAAAUGGUUCUACUUGUGGCAAAAUUUCUACUGAGAAUAAAACAGCUGAAAAAAACCCUCUGGAAACCAAUGACACUUCUCAAAUGCCAGUAGGCAUAGCAGGAGAUCAAAAUGAAGGCAAAGGGUCCCGGCAGUAUAAAGGUUUUCAGCUUGUACAUCAGCAGAUCAAAGCACUGUUCAUCAAACGGUUCCACCAUGCCUCCCGCAGCCACAAGGACUUCCUAGCCCAGAUUGUUCUCCCUGCUAGUUUUGUGUUGCUGUCUUUAAUGCUUACAGUCAUUAUUCCUCCAUUUGGAGAAUAUCCUGCCUUAACCUUACACCCUUGGAUCUAUGGACAACAGUUUACUUUCUUCAGCAAUGAGCGUCCAGGCAGCGAGCAGAUGGUCUCCCUUACUGAUGCUUUCUUGAAUAAACCCGGAUUUGGAAAUCGCUGUUUGAAGAAUCAGCCCCUUCCGAACUACUCAUGCAAUAAUAUGGCAACGGCCUGGAAUACCCCUGUUGUGCAUCCUAAUCUAAGUAGCCUACUGCUGAGCCAAAAGUGGAGCUCUGAGAAUCCUUCACCUUCCUGCAAGUGCAGCACUCGCAAGAAACUCACCAUGCUGCCAGAAUGCCCCCCAGGAGCAGGAGGCCUCCCACCACCACAGAGAGUGCAGCACAGCACAGAAAUUCUUCAAGAUCUGACCCACAGAAAUAUCUCAGAUUUUCUGGUGAAAACAUAUCCCGUUUUGAUAAAAGGAAGCUUGAAGAGCAAAUACUGGGUCAAUGAGCAAAGAUAUGGAGGAAUUUCUAUAGGAGGAAAGCUCCCUGUCCUUCAUGUUUCUGGAGAUGAAGUUGUCGAUUUUUUCAGUGAUUUGUGCCGAAUGAUGAAUGUGACAGGAGGACAAACUUCACUGGCUGCUGCUAAAGAAUUUUCUAAUUUCCUUAAAUACAUGGAAACUGAAGAUAAUAUUAAGGUGUGGUUUAACAAUAAAGGCUGGCAUGCUAUGGUUAGUUUCCUAAAUGUAGCCAAUAAUGCAAUCCUUAGAGCUAACCUGCGGACUGGGCAAGCUCCCGAGGAGUAUGGGAUCACUGUUGUAAACCAUCCUCUGAACCUCACUAAGGAGCAACUCUCUGAAGUCACUGUGCUGACCACUUCAGUGGAUGCUCUUGUUGCCAUCUGUGUGAUUUUUGCCAUGUCCUUUAUCCCAGCCAGUUUUGUUUUAUACCUGAUUCAAGAACGUGUGACGAAAGCCAAACACCUCCAGUUUGUCAGUGGUGUGAGCCCUGCUAUCUACUGGCUAACUAACUUCAUGUGGGACAUAGUGAAUUAUGCAGUGAGUGCUGGACUGGUUGUGGUUAUAUUUGCUGGAUUCAAGAAGAAAGCAUACACUUCUCCAACUAACCUCCCUGUGCUUGUUGCUUUGCUGCUUCUGUAUGGAUGGGCAGUAAUUCCCAUGAUGUACCCUGCUUCUUCUUUCUUCAGUGUGCCUAGCACUGCUUAUGUUGCAUUGUCUUGUAUUAAUCUCUUUGUGGGGAUCAACAGCAGUGCCAUUACAUUCAUCCUGGAGCUAUUUGAAAAUAACCCAACUUUGCUAAAAUUUAAUAAAACAUUGAAAAAUGUGCUGAUUGUCUUCCCACACUUUUGCCUGGGCCGUGGACUCAUUGACUUGGCCGUAAACCAAGCUGUGAGUGAAGUUUAUGCCAGGUUUGGUGAGGAGCAUGUUUCCAAUCCUUUUCAGUGGGACUUUGUUGGAAAGAACCUGGUUGCCAUGGCUGUUCAAGGAGUUGCAUUCUUCAUUCUGAAUCUCCUUAUGCAGCACCGUUUAUUCUCCUCAAGAUGGUUUGCUGAGACUACCAAAUCACCUGUUACUGAUGAAGAUGAGGAUGUUGCAGAAGAAAGAAAAAGAAUUAUGAAUGGAAGGAAAAAAACAGAUAUCUUAGAAUUACAAGAACUGACCAAGAUUUAUGCAGGUAGGCACAAGCCAGCAGUGGACAGGCUCUGUGUUGGCAUCCGUCCUGGAGAGUGCUUUGGUCUUUUGGGAGUCAAUGGUGCUGGAAAAACAACAACAUUCAAAAUGCUGACUGGAGAUACUGACGUGACAUCUGGAGAUGCUGUAGUGGCUGGCAAUAGUAUAUUGACUGACAUUUCUAGUGUCCAUCAAAACAUGGGAUACUGUCCUCAGUUUGAUGCCCUUGAUGACCUGCUCACAGGACGAGAACAUUUGUAUUUAUAUGCACGCCUGCGAGGGGUUCCAGCAGAGGAAAUCAAGAGGGUUGCUGAAUGGGGCAUCCAGAAGCUGGGACUUCCCAUGUACGCAGACCAGCUGGCUGGUACCUACAGUGGUGGCAAUAAGCGCAAGCUCUCCACUGCCAUUGCACUCAUAGGCUGCCCACCACUCAUCUUACUAGAUGAACCAACUACUGGAAUGGACCCUCAGUCCCGGCGCCUCCUGUGGGACUCUAUUGUCAGCGUGCUCAGAGAUGGACGAGCUGUGGUUCUAACUUCACACAGUAUGGAAGAAUGCGAAGCUCUCUGUACUCGUCUAGCCAUCAUGGUAAAUGGUACCUUCAAGUGCCUGGGCACAAUUCAGCAGCUAAAAUACAAGUUUGGAGACGGCUACAUUGUCACUCUGAAAAUCAAAGCUCCAAAGGCAGGGCUGCCUCCAGAUCCUAGUCGUGCUGAGCAAUUCAUACGCAUAAACUUCCCAGGGAGUUUACAGAGAGAGAAACACUACAACAUGCUGCAGUAUCAGAUUUGCUCAUCCUCUCUAGCUAAGAUUUUUCGAUUAAUAAUCUCCAAUAAGGAAAACUUGCAUAUUGAAGAAUAUUCUGUCUCUCAAACAACUUUAGAUCAGGUGAGUAACUAUUAUGCAAUGCAGUAAGGAUGUUUCCAAACAGCAGGAGGACCAAACUUCUUAGAGCAGAGAAUUCUCUCACAUCUCCUUCUCAGGCAAAAUUCCCAGACUCCUCAUCAAGGAAGGUGGAUCAGGUUUUUGUGAACUUUGCUAAGCAGCAGAUGGAGGAUGAGGAAAUUCCUUUGCAUCCCCGUGCAGCUGGAGCCAGUCGAGAAGCAAAGGUGUCCCCUGCUUUGCAUCAGCAAGCAGCUGCAUAGACUAUUCG